GAAAUCCUGCUUCCAACAACUUGAAGCUGAUGAUUCGCUGGAGAUCUAUGCUAAAAUGAGAAAAACAUCAGAUUAGUCUACUUAUCGGACAGAUAGAACUCACAUCAAAUACAACCAUACCGAACCACAGACACACCAAAAUAAGAGUUGAAGAGGAGUACAGUGGAAGCACAUGUGGAGAGGGGCCAGGACACACCUGCCACAUAUACAACAGGACAGAACAGACUAAGCAGGUGAUCAAAGAUAGGAAGAAUUGUCUGGCCUUCCCCGGAAUCAGGU
Molecule: long non-coding RNA, 279 nt
Organism: Fukomys damarensis (Damara mole-rat)
Lineage: Eukaryota; Metazoa; Chordata; Mammalia; Rodentia; Bathyergidae
Exons: 4
Source: RefSeq, a predicted model, not a curated record